Molecule: ribosomal RNA, 562 nt
Filed under: Annulohypoxylon nitens
Lineage: Eukaryota; Fungi; Ascomycota; Sordariomycetes; Xylariales; Hypoxylaceae
Description: eukaryotic LSU rRNA
Rfam family: Eukaryotic large subunit ribosomal RNA
Source: RNAcentral
AAACCAACAGGGAUUGCCCUAGUAACGGCGAGUGAAGCGGCAACAGCUCAAAUUUGAAAUCUGGCCCUAGCGGUCCGAGUUGUAAUUUGCAGAGGAUGCUUUUGGUGCGGUGCCUUCCGAGUUCCCUGGAACGGGACGCCAGAGAGGGUGAGAGCCCCGUACGGUUGGACACCUACCCUAUAUAUAGCUCCUUCGACGAGUCGAGUAGUUUGGGAAUGCUGCUCUAAAUGGGAGGUAAAUUUCUUCUAAAGCUAAAUACCGGCCAGAGACCGAUAGCGCACAAGUAGAGUGAUCGAAAGAUGAAAAGCACUUUGAAAAGAGGGUUAAAUAGCACGUGAAAUUGUUGAAAGGGAAGCGUUUGCGACCAGACCUUUUCCAGGCGGAUCAUCCGGUGUUCUCACCGGUGCACUUCGCCUGGUUUAGGCCAGCAUCGGUUUUCUUAGGGGGAUAAAGGCCUGGGGAACGUAGCUCUUUAGGGAGUGUUAUAGCCCCUCGCGUAAUACCCCUCGGGGGACCGAGGACCGCGCUCUGCAAGGAUGCUGGCGUAAUGGUCGUCAACGAC